AUAUAAACGAGUUGUUUGCUACACGUCGACAUUUAUUACGGCGAGCUGGAAAAAUGUUUAUCUGUAAAUACGUAGUAUUGUUCUUGGUGGUCAUAGUUUGCACAGUAGAGUGGUCAGGAGUUUAUGGGUAACAAGCGUGCGCUGACAGCGGAUAUUCUAAAAAAGAGUGUGAGGGUUUGUACUAUUUAGAUUCAGCCAUUUUUUGUGCAAUGUUCCAAUGCACAAAAAAUGGGCUAAUGUAUAUUCCAAAUAAGGAGCAAUGUGAUAAGGAUGGCCGAUCAAAAGAUAUUUGCAUGCAGAAAUAUGCCAUUUAUAAAGAAGAAUACUGUGACCUAUACCUAUGUACCGCAGACGGAAAACCUGCUUUGAGUUAAAGCUCUUGAAGUUAGAGAAGAUUGCAGAAUGAUACUUCAAUCAUUGAAUAGACAAAGUUUACCCAAUAUGAUUUUUAUCGAAGUGAUGUUUAAUUAAAUAUACUUAUGUAAGGAAAGGUUUUUGACAAACAA
Molecule: long non-coding RNA, 506 nt
Organism: Nasonia vitripennis (jewel wasp)
Lineage: Eukaryota; Metazoa; Arthropoda; Insecta; Hymenoptera; Pteromalidae
Exons: 2
Source: RefSeq, a predicted model, not a curated record